UACGAAGGGGGCUAGCGUUGCUCGGAAUCACUGGGCGUAAAGCGCACGUAGGCGGCUUUCUAAGUCAGGGGUGAAAUCCUGGAGCUCAACUCCAGAACUGCCUUUGAUACUGGCUGUCUUGAGUUCGGGAGAGGUGAGUGGAAUGCCGAGUGUAGAGGUGAAAUUCGUAGAUAUUCGGCGGAACACCAGUGGCGAAGGCGACUCACUGGCCCGAUACUGACGCUGAGGCGCGAAAGCGUGGGGAGCAAACAGG
This 253-nucleotide ribosomal RNA is filed under the name uncultured bacterium. RNAcentral describes it as "partial 16S ribosomal RNA". It matches the Rfam family "Bacterial small subunit ribosomal RNA", at positions 524 to 776 of the family's 1533-position model. The record is from RNAcentral.